This 405-nucleotide ribosomal RNA is filed under the name uncultured microorganism. RNAcentral's name for it is "bacterial SSU rRNA". It matches the Rfam family "Archaeal small subunit ribosomal RNA", at positions 330 to 735 of the family's 1478-position model. The record is from RNAcentral.
GCGCACCAGGCGCGAAACCUCCGCAAUACACGAAAGUGUGACGGGGCCAUCCCGAGUGCCGUCCGCUGAGGACGGCUUUUCCCCAGUGUACAUAGCUGGGGGAAUAAGGAGAGGGCAAGCCUGGUGUCAGCCGCCGCGGUAAUACCAGCUCUCCGAGUGGUGGGGACGCUUAUUGGGCCUAAAGCAUCCGUAGCCGGCUAGGCAAGUCCUCCGUUAAAAUCCAACGAUUCAAUCGUUGGGCUUGCGGGGGAUACUGUCCAGCUUGGGGGCGGGAGAGGCCGACGGUAUUCCCGGGGUAGGGGCGAAAUCCUAUAAUCCCGGGAGGACCACCAGUGGCGAAGGCUGUCGGCUAGAACGCGCCCGACGGUGAGGGAUGAAAGCUGGGGGAGCGAACCGGAUUAGAUA